UACGUAGGGUGCGAGCGUUGUCCGGAAUUAUUGGGCGUAAAGAGCUCGUAGGCGGUCUGUCGCGUCGAUCGUGAAAACUUGGGGCUUAACCCUGAGCUUGCGGUCGAUACGGGCAUGACUGGAGUUCGGCAGGGGAGACUGGAAUUCCCGGUGUAGCGGUGAAAUGCGCAGAUAUCGGGAGGAACACCGGUGGCGAAGGCGGUUCUCUGGGCCUUACCUGACGCUGAGGAGCGAAAGCGUGGGGAGCGAACAGG
RNAcentral lists this ribosomal RNA (254 nucleotides) under uncultured bacterium. RNAcentral describes it as "partial 16S ribosomal RNA". It matches the Rfam family "Bacterial small subunit ribosomal RNA", at positions 524 to 776 of the family's 1533-position model. The record is from RNAcentral.